GGGUGAUAAACUUCAUCUAAGGCUAAAUAUCGACUCGAUUGCGAUAGCGAACAAGUACCGUGAGGGAAAGUUGCAAAGGACUUUGAAGAGAGAGUUCAAGAGAACGUGAAAUCGCUGGAGUGGAACCGGAGACAGUUGAUGUCGCUUGGAGACAAGCUUGGUGGCUGGUCGCUUAGUUGUGAUCGUUGCCGGGUGUCGUCUCCUAUGCAACGCCGACGGCGUUGGCUGCUCGUUCUGGCCCGAUAAUGUUGCCCAGCUCGCAAGAGUCGGUGUCUUGUUGUCGGUAGUUGGUUCGUGGCGGCUAGCGUUUAGUUACACUAGUGUGUGUGACGUCGGUGUGAAAGUCAACGACGUUUCCGACCCGUCUUGAAACACGGAUUGCGGAGUGCUUGUCUACUGCGAGUCAAAGGGUGUUAAAACCUUGCGGCGAAAUGAAAGUGAAGGUCGAUCUUGAAUUGACCGACGUGGGGAUCUGUGCUCUUUCGGAGUGCUGCGCACCACGGCCCUAUACGUGUCACUUGUGACUGGGUAAGAGGUUGAGCAGUUGGCAAACGACCCGAAAGAUGGUGAACUAUGCCUGAG
RNAcentral lists this ribosomal RNA (582 nucleotides) under Caenorhabditis brenneri. RNAcentral describes it as "eukaryotic LSU rRNA". It matches the Rfam family "Eukaryotic large subunit ribosomal RNA", at positions 294 to 841 of the family's 3401-position model. Lineage: Eukaryota; Metazoa; Nematoda; Chromadorea; Rhabditida; Rhabditidae. The record is from RNAcentral.